Molecule: ribosomal RNA, 718 nt
Filed under: uncultured bacterium
Lineage: Bacteria
Description: bacterial SSU rRNA
Rfam family: Bacterial small subunit ribosomal RNA
Source: RNAcentral
GCCUAACACAUGCAAGUCGAGCGGUAGAGAGAAGCUUGCUUCUCUUGAGAGCGGCGGACGGGUGAGUAAUACCUAGGAAUCUGCCUGAUAGUGGGGGAUAACGUUCGGAAACGGACGCUAAUACCGCAUACGUCCUACGGGAGAAAGCAGGGGACCUUCGGGCCUUGCGCUAUCAGAUGAGCCUAGGUCGGAUUAGCUAGUUGGUGAGGUAAUGGCUCACCAAGGCUACGAUCCGUAACUGGUCUGAGAGGAUGAUCAGUCACACUGGAACUGAGACACGGUCCAGACUCCUACGGGAGGCAGCAGUGGGGAAUAUUGGACAAUGGGCGAAAGCCUGAUCCAGCCAUGCCGCGUGUGUGAAGAAGGUCUUCGGAUUGUAAAGCACUUUAAGUUGGGAGGAAGGGCAGUUACCUAAUACGUGAUUGUCUUGACGUUACCGACAGAAUAAGCACCGGCUAACUCUGUGCCAGCAGCCGCGGUAAUACAGAGGGUGCAAGCGUUAAUCGGAAUUACUGGGCGUAAAGCGCGCGUAGGUGGUUUGUUAAGUUGAAUGUGAAAUCCCCGGGCUCAACCUGGGAACUGCAUCCAAAACUGGCAAGCUAGAGUAUGGUAGAGGGUAGUGGAAUUUCCUGUGUAGCGGUGAAAUGCGUAGAUAUAGGAAGGAACACCAGCGGCGAAGGCGACUACCUGGACUGAUACUGACACUGAGGUGCGAAAG